AGCAACCCUUCUGGGUCCCCUUCCACCACGCAGAAGCUUUACUUUCGCUUUCACUUUACUUUUGCUUUCACUUUAACAAAUCUUGCAGCCGCACACUCUUUGGGUCCGCCCGUUUCUCUAAUCAAGUUGUAACACUCGCUGCUGUGGUCCACAGCUUCAUUCCUUGAAGCCCGUGAGACACGAACGCUUCCAUUGAGAAAAACCUUCCAUCAGAAGAAGACUUCUCGUCUCAGUGGGACUGCUGAGUUGAAUGGUGCUUUUUUUUCUGAAGCUUUGGUAGUGUAACUGUAAGAGUCCUGGAAUUGGAAAAGCAAAUCCAGAAGUUGAGUUCCAUGACUUUUUUGCUGUUUGCCUUUGGACUUGCAUCAUUUAUAUUUUUAAUUCAUCGAGGAUGAGAAAAUUGAUUAACACAAAAUCUUUUCAUGUCUUUUCUGAUGAGAGACUAGCUGAAUCCAAGAAGAGAAGCCCUUGAAGAGUGUAUUCUAUUCUAGACAAGCAUUCACACAUUGGCUUCUUUGGUGCCAGAUUAAAGAAUGAAGAAAGGAUCAAAUUGAGACAUCCAGGGGGGAAGAGUUCCCUGGCAAAACUCCAAUCUGCCUGAGCACUGAGGUGGAGCCACAGAAGUCCGGGUCAUUUGCACCUGGGAGGAGCCUGGCCCCUCCUCUUCCUGUGUGGAAUCUGGGAUUUAAUCUGUGAGGAGGGAAGGCCAAGGGCAGGAAGCACAGGCUCUCACUUCACUAAGAGUCUCUGUUUCCCCUUUUUUUCCUUUAUGCCUAAUUAAUAAAUCCCAUUUUUCUCACUCUUCAAAUAGUCUUCAAGCCUAAAUUUUCAUGACCAUGGAACAAGGACCCCAUCUUUAGCUGAACUAAGGAAAAGUCCUGCAACAAAAUUCUUUGCUAAAAAUACAUGAGGUUGCCUUUUCCUUCUUAAUCUUAAAAGAAAUAUAUUUCAAUGGUUAACGUUUUAGUAAUUCAAAAAUUAUCAAGCAUUUGUUCACAACCAUAAGAUGUGCAUUGUUUUAUAUUCCUACUUAAUAAUAGACUAUAAUUGUCUAAUUAGACUGCCGAUGUUGAUCUUUGUGGCUCAUUGCAUUGAUUAUAAGCAGUGUUUUGGGUUUGUGUGUGUGUGUCAAAUUUAGGGUUUUUUUGGUAUGGCUGCUGGUUGGUGUAGCCUGUAUCCAGUAUCCUGUAUUAAUUCUAAUAUUUGCAUUUUGAACAUAUUUACAAGUUGCUAAAAUAGCAAAGCUUCGAGAUGAGCCUGGCUGAUAUGGCAAAACCCCGUCUCUACUAAAAAUACAAAAAUUAGCCUGGUGUGGUGGUGCAUGCCUGUAAUCCCAGCUACUUGGAAGUCUGAGGCAGGAGAAUCUCUUGAACCCAGAAGGUGGAGGUUGCAGUGGGCCAAGAUCGCACCACUGCACUCCAGCCUCGGUGAUAGAGCGAGACUACGUCUCAAAAAUAAAAUAAAAUAAAAUAAAAUAAAAAUAGCAAAGCUAUGUAUGGUUUCUCUGAGUUUUGUAAUUUAUCAUUGUUAACUGCAGAAAUUUAUUAUAUGAGACAUAUUAUAUGAGACAUAUAAGUGAAUUUGGAUUGGGUUUAAUUUUAUAUUUUUGAAUAUAGUUCUUCAAGAUAAAUUUUAUCUUAGACCUCAAGAAAUAAAAAUAAAAUAAAUUAGAUAUACAAACGAACACAAAUGUAUGCAGUCCUAGCCUAAUUUAAGACAUUAACUUGGAUAAGUCAAAGGUAUAUGUUGCAAUUCCUGGAGUAACCACUAAAAAUAAUACAAUACUAUUAUAUCUAGAAAUCUAAUAGAGUAAUUAAAAAGUUUUAUUAAUCCCCAAAAAGGCAGAAAAGUU
Homo sapiens (human) is the source of this 1852-nucleotide long non-coding RNA. Ensembl annotates it as long intergenic non-protein coding RNA 2328. The record is from Ensembl. NCBI's taxonomy places the organism in Eukaryota, Metazoa, Chordata, Mammalia, Primates, Hominidae.